UCCGCCAUUCUGCCCUUCCGACCCUGUCUCCGAACUGGCUCCCGGCCUAACUAUCAUCCUCGGCGGUCAUUUCUGUCGGCCCAUCUCGACUCCUUCCGUCUUCUGUCCGCAGCGCUGCUUCCGUGGUGAUCAAGAGGAGCGUGGUUACCUCAUUUCAGAGCUACUUUGUUGGUUGAGAGGCCUCUCGGUUGUACUCAAGCAUCUCUUCGGAGCUUCUAUCUCUCCGAGGCCUUCAAUCCAUUGCGGCUAAUUCCGGGAGGCAAAUGGUUGAACCGCGCCAGUUCUACAUCUAACUCAGAUUCCCCUGCUGCGAGAGAAGCUGUCUUGGUAGGAGAUCUGGUCAAAGAUCAAGAGUGAAUGCAAUUUGGAGCGUGGAAGGUUAUAUUCAUUGGAGGAGCAAAUUGAACAUAAGUUGGAUUUCAUCAAGCAGGAACUUAACAACAUUGAAGUCCCUAUAGUACUGGUG
Daucus carota subsp. sativus is the source of this 466-nucleotide long non-coding RNA. RefSeq lists it as uncharacterized. The record is from RefSeq and is a predicted model, not a curated record. NCBI's taxonomy places the organism in Eukaryota, Viridiplantae, Streptophyta, Magnoliopsida, Apiales, Apiaceae. The transcript is spliced from 5 exons.